GUACACGGCCACGCGCCAGCCGCGCUCCAGCAGCAGCGGCACCAGGCAGGAACCCAGGUAGCCCGCGCCGCCAGUCACCAGCACUUCCUUGGCCUCCGGCAUCCUGCGAAACGCACCACCGUUUGCACGGAAUCCUCCCGGUGCUCAUGGCUAUCAUCGCCCAGGAGAUACUGUGUUCUCGGAUGGAUCCUGCUAUCAAUACAUCACUGGAAUUUGCGUUGCUGUCCACACCAACGAAGCCGGUGCAUGCUCCACUUGUACGCGAUCUUGGUGCCUGCGUCGUAGCAAUCGUCUACGUGGCUUCAUCUGUAUUGGCACCACCAUCAUUUGGUAUCUAGAUGCUGUAUCCGCCAUGGAAAAUAGCAUCGACACCGGCAUUCGUGCUCCCGCCUAGUAUAAGACAGCAAUGAUGAUCAUCGAAAGCGCUGUGCGUGCUGGAUAGCGUUGCAUGGUUCGGCGCCUAUGUCACUUCCCAUGAUAAUGCGCGCGUGUUGACGCAGGCUCACGACUUGAAUGUAAACGGAUAUGAACAGAGCGGCUAUACCCGGAGAAAAAGAAGGCAUGCUGGCGCAGCCAGGUCCUAAUUGAAUUCUGGGGUUUCACAUGCCAAAAACCACGAUUAGACUAUGAAGCACGCCGUAUAGUGGGGGACUCCGCAUUAAUUUUGAUGCACAGGACACGGGCGUUUUACAGCGAAG
Long non-coding RNA from Dermacentor albipictus, 698 nucleotides. RefSeq lists it as uncharacterized. NCBI's taxonomy places the organism in Eukaryota, Metazoa, Arthropoda, Arachnida, Ixodida, Ixodidae. The record is from RefSeq and is a predicted model, not a curated record.